This 747-nucleotide ribosomal RNA is filed under the name Triticum aestivum (bread wheat). RNAcentral describes it as "partial small subunit ribosomal RNA". Lineage: Eukaryota; Viridiplantae; Streptophyta; Magnoliopsida; Poales; Poaceae. The record is from RNAcentral.
CGGUGCAGAUCCAUCGUCUCCAAUCUAGAAUACUACCUGCACUUCUUCGGCUCCUUUGAGAACUUCCCCCGGCCUCUUAAGCGCGACCACGGCUCAUGCCUUCUCUCGGCCGACCUCGAGAGGGUGGUCAAGCCCAAUGUCUCGUUCCUGCGUGAGUGCGGGCUAGGUGAUUGCGAUAUUGCCAAGUUGAGCAUCUCUCAGCCAUGGAUGCUCGCAGCCAACCCAGAGCGCCUCCAGGCAAUGGUGUCAUGCGCAGAAGGCAUAGGUGUACCCCGUGGGUCUCCGAUGUUCAAGCAUGCGUUACAAGCUGUUGCAUUCCUCAGCGAGGAGAAAAUCACCACCAAAGUGGAGCACUUGAAGAAAACCUUCAAGUGGUCGGAUGCUGAGGUGGGCAUUGCUGUUUCUAAGGCUCCAACAGUGCUACAUAGGACUAAGGAAUCGCUGCAGCGCAGGUCUGAGUUCCUCAUCUCCGAGGUGGGGUUGGAACCGGCAUAUAUUGCUUGUCGUCCGGUAAUACUCAUGUACAGCUUGGAGGGCCGGCUCAGGCCCCGAUACUACGUCAUCAGAUUUCUCAAGGAAAAUGGAUUGCUAGAUCACGACCGGGACUACUAUGCUGCAGUCAUGAUCAGCGAGAAGGUAUUCGUCGAGAAGUUCAUAUGCCCUCAUAAGGAUGCUGCACCGCAUCUCGCUGAAGAUUAUGCAACAGCUUGCAGAGCGGAGGUUCCAGCUAGAUUCAGUUUUACAUGA